RNAcentral lists this long non-coding RNA (573 nucleotides) under Mytilus galloprovincialis (Mediterranean mussel). The record is from RNAcentral. Lineage: Eukaryota; Metazoa; Mollusca; Bivalvia; Mytilida; Mytilidae.
UGCGCAUUGGGAACUGACGAGUAAUGGUCAACAUAGGUCAUAUGAAUAAGGGUUGGGCUUAACAUCGAACUAUUAUCUAUAGACAAUAAAUACAUGUAGGUGUUAAACGUUAAAAAGCUUCUAAAUGCUAAAUGGAAAGUAACCAGUAAUUGUUUUAAUCAUACUUAUUUUACUUUUUGUACAAAAUCCGGAAUAUAGGUUAAAAAAGUAAUUUUAAUGAAAAUCGUAGCUACUAUCCGUUUAAUUAUAUGGACUAGUCACAACGGCAUCGUUUUAAAACGCUUUAAUGUGUUCAAUUCUUUCUAGAUUUUUUUAUGAAACUUCUAUCAGGUUUAAAUUAGCAGUAUCUCAAGUCAAAAAACAAAUUUCGAUCAAUUAUUUUUAAAAGAGUUAAGCCCCUUCGAAACAUUUAUUAUAUUGGGAAAUUGCAUCGUUAUCGCUUUCAUUUGUUCAAUUUUUGCCAGAUGUUUAUGAAACUCAUUCGAUAGGUUUAUAUUAGUGAUGUCUUUGACUAGUUUGAAAAUCAAUCUGAUCAAUUAAUUUAGAAAGAAUUCGGGUGCGGGAAUUUCUCGC